RNAcentral lists this long non-coding RNA (263 nucleotides) under Elaeis guineensis (African oil palm). RNAcentral describes it as "long non-coding RNA (EGUI_LNC058136)". Lineage: Eukaryota; Viridiplantae; Streptophyta; Magnoliopsida; Arecales; Arecaceae. The record is from RNAcentral.
GAGACACUGGUAUGGCAUACAGGUGAGAGGUAGGAGUAUAUCUCACAGAAUGUGACCAACUGCUGAGCAUUCUGCUGUCAAUAGUAGCUUACAAAAAAUAUGGAUAUAAGUAUCCCUCCGACCUGAAAUUACCACGGUGACUUGCAAGCAACUCAUUAUGCUUUGGUGUUGGACUAUCUAAAUUUUUAAUUCAGUGAUAGAAAAAUUUUGGGUACAAUCAAGUACUUGUGAUAGUCGAUGUGUGAUUCAAGAUAGGAUUGACC